RNAcentral lists this unclassified non-coding RNA (226 nucleotides) under Basidiomycota sp. RNAcentral's name for it is "partial contains small subunit ribosomal RNA, internal transcribed spacer 1, and 5.8S ribosomal RNA". The stretch from base 1 to 47 matches the Rfam family "Eukaryotic small subunit ribosomal RNA", at positions 1785 to 1831 of the family's 1831-position model. Lineage: Eukaryota; Fungi; Basidiomycota. The record is from RNAcentral.
AAAGUCGUAACAAGGUUUCCGUAGGUGAACCUGCGGAAGGAUCAUUAGUGAAUAACAGGACGUUCAAUUUAACUUGAAGUCCGAACUCUCACAUCUAACCCUGUGCAUUUGUUUUGGUUAGUAGAGCGCUUGCGUUCGAACACCUCUUCAUUUUACAAACACUAAGUCAAAGUAUGUUUAAAUUUAUAACAAAACAAAACUUUCAACAACGGAUCUCUUGGCUCUC